UACGUAGGGGGCGAGCGUUGUCCGGAUUCAUUGGGCGUAAAGCGCGCGCAGGCGGCUCCGAGAGCCCGGCGUGAAAGCCCCCGGCUCAACCGGGGGAGGUCGUCGGGGACCUCGGGGCUGGAGGCCGGCAGGGGCGAGCGGAAUUCCCGGUGUAGUGGUGGAAUGCGUAGAGAUCGGGAGGAACACCAGUGGCGAAGGCGGCUCGCUGGGCCGGUCCUGACGCUCAGGCGCGAAAGCGUGGGGAGCGAUCCGG
Molecule: ribosomal RNA, 253 nt
Filed under: uncultured bacterium
Lineage: Bacteria
Description: partial 16S ribosomal RNA
Rfam family: Bacterial small subunit ribosomal RNA
Source: RNAcentral